This 7409-nucleotide long non-coding RNA is filed under the name Gallus gallus (chicken). Lineage: Eukaryota; Metazoa; Chordata; Aves; Galliformes; Phasianidae. The record is from RNAcentral.
CUUCCCUCUAAAAGGAACUUUCUCUACAAGAGAAUCAGUUUAUCUCACUUUCCAGUGAGACUCUUCCCUGAGUAAUUCAAUCAGAGGACAUUCAGCUGCGUAUAACCCAGCUCUGUGGUGUGCUGUAUGAGUCAAUGCUGCUCCUGAAUGUCUCAAAGAUGCAUGCAUAUCUUCUUGCCAUUCCCAGGACACAAGUACCGUGGAGAGGCUUAGUAAUUUAUUUUUUUUCCAGAAAUCUCUUCUAAAUAGUCUGUCCACCUCAAGCAUGCUGCUCCACACUGCACUUAUGCAGUCCUGGGAGAGCAGCAGAGCAAGCGACAUCACUGCCAAGCUCAUCAGUGCUGCCAGCUUGUGCCAAGAACCAUUUCUGAGCUAGCAUGGCCCUGGAGAUGACAAGGGGAGAAACACAGCAGACUGGAGAGAGGCUUCCCUGGUGAGAGGAGAGCUGUGGUAGCCCUGGGGCUGUCAAGCAUGGCUCUGGCCCCAGAUGACAGGCAUUAUAUAGAAGCCCGUCUCCUGGCCUAGCUUCCACUUCUCCUUCUCCACCAGGGAGCCUGUCUCCUGGCCCAGCUUCCUUCGUCCCCUCCCUCUUGCUCCCAGCCAUGCAUUUGCUCCCAUUUCCCUCCUGUUCCACUCCCAACUGGAAAAGCACUGAUCGCUUUCUUUCCCAAAGGGGAUCGCAUGACAUCCCUCUGGCAACGGCACCAAUUAAGUGUGAAGAAAAGGAACGUUAGGAAAAUGUUAAUAGAUUUUGACUUCUUCUAAUGUAAUUCAGAGCUGGAAACAACAAAGCAAGACUGAAGGAAGUAGGCUGCCAGCACCCAUGAACCAGCAGCUUUGUUUGGGAGCUGGAGCCACAGGGACAGGCGGGAGAAGAAGGCAGAGUGCUUUGGAAAAGGUGACAGCAUACUCAGGAACUGCUCUCUGACUUCCCAGAGUGAGAGCAGCACUGAUUGGUGCCAAAGGAAGAAGUGAUGAAAGAGAUUUGCACGGACACAAAGAGGAAGGAGCUGAAAAAAUGAUAUUCUGAGUCUAAUGCUUAGGAAAGCAUUUAUUGAAAAGAACAAAGAGGUGUGCUGAGAGGCCAAAAGACCAGGAAGCCAAACUGGGGAUACUGAGCAGGUCAAUCACAUCUAAAUGCUCAGUGCUCCUGGAGACUUUGGUUAUAUUACUUAAAGAAACUGGAAACAUCAGUAACUGACCUAAUAUCUCCAUGAGCAUAAAUGAAGUGCGUUUGGCUCUCCACAGUGGCAAGAAUACAGCUGGAAUUCAGAUCAGUAAAAAACACCAGAUCGGAAACACCCUUAUAAAUACUGCCACCAUGACCUGCAGGAAAUGGAAAAGAUAGAAAACGCUCAGGGCUCAGCACUAGAUAGUACACCGUACCAGUCAGCGAUAGGUAAUUACAACAUUAAGAGUGCCUGCUCCUGGUCAUGGAAGCACUGGCACGUGAAGCAAGAUGGGCCUGGGGACUCAACACUGCCAAGGGUCCUAUUUCUGGUGCUUUUUUUUUUUUUUUUUUUUUUUAAUCAGGGUGUCAUUGGAAGAACACGGGGAGAAUGUGUUGAGCCGCAGGAAAAAAUAGCUUGGUACAGUGCUUUUAAUUUUUAUCAGAGGACAUGGACACAUAUUCUCAGAUCUUCAUUAGAUGACAACUGAAACGUAACGGCAGUGAAUGCCUUCAGUCAGUAACUAGGAGUACUUGUAAAAGCAGGCAAUUUCCCCUGACUGGAUUUUACUAUCAGCCAGCUACUGAAAGGUCAUAACCAUAAGUGCAGCAUCACCCACGGUUGCUGCAGCCCUGAGAAAAGUGAGGGAUCACAUAUUCCAGGUGAUCUCCUUCUGCUGCAAGCUGAUGUGAGUGUAAAGAGUGGGGCGAUUUCCUGUGAAACACCGCUGCUUUCUGUGACAGAUUGCCUACGUUUCUUGUGCUUCCAGCAGUGAGUUGAAACAUCUGAAGUAAAACUCCAAAAACAAAGUUGAAACACAGUCUUCUCUUCAACUAAUUCUGCCUCGCUUUCUUUGGUAUGAGAGAGGGAGAGGAGCUGAAGAUACUGAUUUCUACCUCUAAGCAUGUAACCUAGAUACAUGACAAGGCUAUUCCCUGAGCUCUCUCUGAGACAAAUUAAGUCAGAUUUUCUGCUGCAUAUUUUGAAUGGGAAAAGUUGGGACAAAUCUCCGAGCUCAUCAAUGUUUGUAUUUAAAAAUUUAUUAGAGGCCAUGCUGACAGUGGAGGCACGGUACAUAGAGGCAGAACGUCAGUAUUUAGAGGCAUUCUCAGCUAUAAAAGCUGCCUACCUUUGCCUCCCAAGCCAUUGCAUGGAGACUGCUGAGCUGGGGUUGGCUUCAGGCAAGCUGUCAUCUAAAAAGAGAGAGCAGGGGGAACAGUGUACAAAAAUUCUCUGCUUUUUGCUGCCGAAGAUUUUGCUUGUAAUUUAUGGAAUCUUUAGAGGAUUCCAGGCUUUAACUCACAACUUUCUGUAAAUCCACAGAUAUAUGAUACUAAUUCAGAUGACAUUUUUGGGCAGGAAAUUCAGCAAUGGAAAUACACUGUAUGCAAAAUCAGUAUGUGAAUAUGUAAACAAAUAAUAUUGGCUUUUUACACUGGUACAGCUCAGAAACCACCCCAUGUGACAAAAGAAUUUUUCCUUUUGUUUAAUACCUUUUCAAAAUCAAUUAAAAUCACAUCUUUAUUGUGAUUUCAGACCUGAUGUAACUCAGUUCCACAAACUCCUUGCAUCAGGAACAACAAUUUUUGACAUUCUGAAACAUCAUUGCAAACAUACACUGAAAACUCAUUUGUCAUACUGAAGUAGAACAAAUGUAUGAUUGGAAGCAGCACAGACUGUAAUGACUUCUGAAUAUGUCCCACAUUUUUACACUCGAUGUAUUCCAUGUUUGUCAAUCUACAUUUGCAAUGCUGGAACUGGAAUUUAUUAAGGUAAAUCAGGAGCAAUAUGGAGAUUCAUAUUUCAGAUUUUUGAACCAUUCUCCCACGUGAAAUCAGAAUAUAAGUAUCUCAUUGAGGCUGAUUAUUCCCAUCACUGCUUUCUGCAGUUUCCCUGAUUUCCCAACCAGCUGAGAAAAUAUUUUGCUGUGAAACAUCUGUCUGAGGAAUGCUGGGAGCUAUGAAAUAGCUGGUGCAUCCUCUGAAGUAGGUGGCUUUGAAGCAAAGUAACAUAGCUUUAAACAAUUCCAAUAGACUGAAAAAUAUUUAACAGAAGCUCACCAAAGACUAUCCAAGAUCCUGUAGUUGCUGUCAUAGACUUCUCCGAGUACGUUGCCCUGGCACAUGCAGAUGUAACUGAGACUGUGCAGGUAUUUUGGGCAGAAAAGUACAACUCCAGCAGAAAAGCAGUGAGGGGAUAUACAUGGAGGCAAAGAAGGAGUUGUAAAAACAAAGAGUAGUGGAAAAUCAAAAGCAAAGAAAAUGUGUUUUGUCCAGCUUGCAGUUUUUCUUCCACAAAUGUUUCUCAGAGACAGUGAGAGUCUUUCUAACUCUGCUGCAAUUACCCCAGAAAGAACUUUAAAUUGACAGAAAUGCAGGAAACAGCAAACACUUUGCCACAUUGGAGUUUAGAUGAUUAGAUAGAUAGAUAGAUAUACUGACAGACAGAUAGAUUAAUAAAUAAGAGAAAACAGAGAAUAAGUAAUUGAAGAUCAAAUCAAGUCCUGAGAUUAUUUCAUUCAUGAUAGUUGUGGGUCAAACCUUGGCACAGAAUUCAGCCCAGCAUUUGCUCACACAUGGUUAAAGCACCAUCAGCCAGGGACACCACUGCCAACUGAAUUUCAGGUAUCUAAACAGUCUCUUUCAGUUCUCUACACAGUUAGUUGUACCUGGCUGAAUAAGAGUGUUUAUCCUUUCUUGAACACAAGAUUAUCUUUCAGGUGACUGAAGAUUUCUGCCUUUAUUCCAGCACUAGUCGCAAUAAUUGGAAAGACUGAUUGCUACAGCAACUGAUCACAAGUAGAUGCAAUUGUGGCACAAUGGAAUGAUCACAGAUAAACUCCAAAGUCAGUGAAGAAAGCCAAGAGAGAUGUCACAAGAAAAUAGUGUAAGAAGAAAAGAGGUUAAAAAGCAGAGGUUCCUGGAAAAAGGCAUCAACAUAACUUAUGUCACUGUGGGAGAAAGAAGUAAACUGUUGCAAAGAAUUAACUUGAUUAAGUGAGGAGUCCUUCAUUUAUUAAGGACACAUUGAUACAAGAGUAGCAGGUAGAAACGUGAGAAAUGUUCUAUUAAGGUUCAAAUUUAUAAAUACGUUCACAGAUAAGAGGAAAAGCAAAGAAAAGAUAAGCCACUAAGCAGCUGAGGUGAGAAAUUAUUGAGACAUUGCUCUGAGAAAGUAUGAAAGUAAGCUGCAGAGAGUAAAGUAAAUCCUAGUGACAGACAAGAAACAUAUCGCAUUUUUGACAGGGAAAGAAUAGGUUAAAAGUAUUUUCAAAAGCCUCAUGUUUUCAGAUUGACCAGUCUUGACAUGAUGUCAUCAUACAGAAUUUUAAGGAGCUGGUUGAUUAAAUCUCCAUUCAUUAUCAAUUACUUUUGAAAAGUCACAGAAAAUAAAAUGAGAUGUUCAAAACCAAGCAUAGGGCAGACGUGUCAUCUACCUUCAAGGAAAUUAAAUACAUUCAUAUGAAAAAAGACAUCAAGGAUCUACAGACAUACCUACUCAUUUCUAUUUUCUGGAAAAAUACUGGAAUAGCUAAAUUAAUAAAUGAUUGCAAUCAUGUAAACGAAAAUAAAGUUGAAUAACAACCCAUGUGGAUUAAUCAGGAGCAAGCUGUCAAGCCAAUCAUAUUUAUUUGUCUGAUAGAGUAACAGGUCAGACAAGGAAAUGAGGAAAAAUAGAUGUCAUGGACAUUCAUGUUAGUUAGGAUUUUGACUAUUUUACACAAUGUGUUCCAAGAAGACUAUGAAAAUAUAGCUGGAAAGCCACGCUCUGACAGUGCUUCUGUGCACAAGACACAGAACUACAGCCAGGCACUGACAUGAUGGAACCAACAGUUCAAUGGACCAGUGGUUCAAUCUCAUCUAUAAAGGUGGCCAAGGGUGAAUCCCUAGGGAACAACAGAAGAUAAAUUAAAAAAUAGAGCAAUGCUUUCUCAGAAUACUCUGCUGCAUUCAAACAGCUUGUGGCUCAGGGACAGUUUGAGCACAGGAUGAUCUCUUUGUACUCUUUCUUUAUGAAUUGGUUGGUUGCUUUUUUGAACGAGCAUAUUUUUCUGGCAUCCAAAACACCCUGUGGCAAGAAAUAGUAACAUCUUAACUUUGCAUUGUGAAAUGAACCAUGUCCAGUUGUUUUGAAUCUGACUAUUUCUGUAUAAUUUGAUUUCUCCUAGUACUUAUGUUGGAAAAGAGAAAAAAUAAAUCUUUCCCUUUUUCCCUUAUCUGUGAUGUCGUGGCAUGACAAGCUUCUACUAUAUGCUCCAUAUAGAGACUGUCUGAAGCUUCUUUAUAGUAUUGUCUUAUUUUCAUACAGAAGAUAAUUUUGAUCAUCCUCUCCCAAACUCCUCAACAAACUUGUGAUGUAUCUUCACUAUGAUGGGAGAUAAAAUUUUCCUUCUGUGCAUAGAAGUAGUAUCAGAAUGCAUACUGCUCUGCAGAAAAGGAUUUGAGUCAUUAGUAAUCAGAAACUGAAUAUGAGUCAAGAAUGGCCUCCUAUUGCAGAGAAAAAAAACUAAAACCAUACCAAUAUAAACAGAGAUGUAGUCUAUACAUUAUGUGAGGUCAUCCUUUCUGCUCUAUUCCAGUCAGGUUAUAUCUGCAGUACUCCACAGAGCACUGUUUGGUGAUGUCUGUGAUGGAGAAGAACAAAAUGAAAAUAUGAACCAGUUGGGUAAGAGCUGAGAAAAGUUCAGUAAGAAUGAUUACAGUCUACUUGAGUAAACAAGUAGUGAGGAAAGACUAAGAAAACUAGAGGUGGCUAUACUACAAAGUAUAAAAGAAGGCAAAUAGGGCAAAAAGUCUCCAAAUAUAUGUUCAAGUAAGAAAGUAUCCUGAUGUCCAUUUUGGUGGCAGGUAGGAAAAGAGGAAACUGCUUUGUCUUACAGCAAGAAAGCUCCAGGAAAAGCUUGUGAGUGGCAAGGAGAAAGUGUCUGGAGGACUGUGGGACUCCAUAAAUAAAGACCAUAAAGAUCAGGUUAAGCAGGUGUCUUCCAGGAGGAAGAUAAUUACACCAGAUCCUCUGUGGAACAAGUGGGUGAAGAGGACAUUGUCUCGAAAUACCUCACAUCUCUGGAUGCAUUACAAAAUGGAUAAUUAAGAGGACAAACAAUGCUUGAAAGUCCUUCCCUGUAAAAAACUGGUAAAUUACCAUAUGUAACUUUUUAUGCCCUAUUUAGCAUAUUCAUGAAGUUUUGUUUACAUCUCACCCAAGAUCACUGAAAAACUCACAGACCAACUGGACACUUCCCAUGUCCUAGAAAGCAAUACCAAAUACAACCUAACAAGAUAAAUAUUAUUGCUCCACUUACCUUUUUCCCUCUUGGAAGUCAUUAAUCUGGGUUAGAUUAUAUACACUGUCAGGCACUAUUCAUGCUCGUUUGUGUUUUAUUUGUUUGUUUCUUGGUUGGUUGGCAUUUUUAUUUGGAAUUAUAUCAUUAUUGCUAUCACAGCUAGCACAGCCAUCAAGUUUGGAGGAGAAGGCUCAAAGUCUCCCCUUUUCAGUUUAUAUCUGCCUCUGUUAAUGCAAAAUUGCUUUUAUUGUUUAGCUACUGAAGAGAUAAAACAGUUUAGAGAUGUUCAGUAAAUCUGUUUAUAUUUUUAUUGCUAACUUCCUCUCCUCAAUCUAAUUUUCCCUGAGGUGAUCUAGUACAGGAUAUGCUGCACUUUCCUUUCACUCUUCAGACUGCUCAGCAAAUGAUUGUUUUUUUCUGCUCUACAGGAUUUCCCACCCAGUGCAUAACCCAUUAAUAAAGUUUUGCAAGAAGCAGGAAAAAAAUAUCAGCAAUUUGUCACAUUUAAAUCCAGCAGUUUCAACAGAGAAAGGGUUAAUAAUACGUCCUUGUUUAACAUUUACUUUUUCACACUUGCAGGUCUUUGACUGAAGAACAUUAUUGCUUCAUCCAGAAAAUAAACACCCUUAGUGUUUAUAUAAUAUUUUAUAUAUUCCCAUGUGAAGUGGUAUUAAAAGGAAACACACAGCAAGGGCACAAAGGGGUUAAUGGCCUUUCUGAAGGAAAGCAUUUCUUUGGCCUUUUCCCACAGCAUUUGCCAGAAGCGACAAAUCUGGAGGAAGGGGCCUUCCUCUGAUCCUCACAGCAAAGGAGGGGAAAGAGCAGACAGCAUUAACCGGGGGUGAGGGGGGUACUCAGAGAGGAAUCCAAAUGUCCCCGGUUUAAGCAGCUGCACGUAAGUAAACCUGCUGAUAUGCCCUCAUGGCCUCAUCUCUGAUGUACACCACUGAUACCAG